RNAcentral lists this unclassified non-coding RNA (270 nucleotides) under Hevea brasiliensis (rubber tree). The record is from RNAcentral. Lineage: Eukaryota; Viridiplantae; Streptophyta; Magnoliopsida; Malpighiales; Euphorbiaceae.
GAUCGUUUCUACUGCUUUAACUUGGGUCAUGCAAUUUUUGUUCGCAUAAAUCAUAAUAAAGGCCUUCCGGGUUCUGUUUGAGUUGAUUGUUUUAUUUUACUGAAAACCCAUAACUGUGAUUUUUUUUUUUCACGUACUGCUAAUUUUGAUUUAUUUUGUCUAAUAUCGAUCUUUUCUUCAUUUUUAUCAUUGACACCUUCACUUUAAUUUGGUCAAUUUUUUCCUUCUCUUUUAGAUGCUUUAUUAAGCACAAUAACUAUUGAAUCUGGU